CAAGUCCAGCUAUAAACCUCCCACUGACAAGUUCGCCACUAAACCAUGAUCCCAAGAGCCUUGUCUACUCAUCUUCUUACAGUGAGAUAAUACUGCCUGUAGCGCACAAGAUAUGCACAAGGUGUAGAAAAUAAUAGUUCUCUGGAGCCUCUUUCAAUCUUAAACCAGCUGAUUAAGUAGAUGUAUUCCUCUACAGACUUCAGACACAAAUCUUUAGAGGUGCUGAAUUCCUACCAUUCAUUGCAUUAAUUGAGAGCUGUGGAGAUCUAAGUCACUCUUGAACAGUUAUAGAAGAAAAACGGACUUGAAUUUAGGAAAAGACCUGUCUUUGAGAUUUCUGUGCUAUUCUAGGAAGACACAUAUAGACCUUUAAGAAGGGGAGGAUGUUGACUCCUUCAGGUGGAGACACCACUACAUUUCAGAAGGCAGACUGUGCAUUUUCUACAUGGAUAUCCUUGAUAAAAUAUCGAUGCACCCUUGUUCAACAUACUCAAAUGCAUGACAAGAUGUGAGAACAAAAAAACCCCGAAUUAGAUUAAUUUCAUAUGCAGGGAAGCAGCCACAGCUAAAAAGGCCAUUAAUCCAAAAUUAAAUGCAGCCGAAUAAAUAACAUUCCUAUUCUCUCUUCUUCCAAGGAAAAAGCGGCUCCCAUAAUAAUCUGUGUCUCUGAGAUAAAUGAAUGCAUUGAAGUUCUUAACUACUCUUUGAUGGACUACAAAUGGACACUGUGCAGGACAAUAUUUGAACAGUAAUGAUUUGUCCUUUCUUCUUCAAGUGUAAGCUGAUUGCAAAGGCUUUAGGACCAUAGAUGAAAUAGCUAAAGGGGUCAUGAAUCUUAAUAGCUUCUAAAUCAGAGAGAUCUGCAACUUACAUGCUCUGACUGAAAUGUGUGUGGAAUGUAUAAAUAUUAAUAGGUUUGGCAAGGGCUCAGCAGAUGAGCUGUCUAAGAUUUCACAGUGGGAAGACUGGAGAUUGAGGCUGCUGUGUACAAAUCAGCUGAGAAGCUCCUACCUGAAAAUGAACUGUCAGCAUGUGUGUAAAUACAGUUUUCCUGAAGUGAUAUUUAAUAUUGCAAGCUUCCCUCCUACAUAGGCACUGUAUGCAUCCAUGUCAAAAGCCAUAUAUUUAUUUAGAAUGAUGAACAUGCACACAAGGUCAAGUGCCAGCACUGAAGGCUAAUUUGUGCCAUGGAUCUGAAGCUUGCUCUGAUGAUGUUCUGCUAAUGCUAAGAGAACAUAGUAGUAAGAACCUUGAGGAAGUCCAUUGCCAUGACUUCAUUAAAACAGAACAAAAAAAUUUAAUACAGCUCAAAAAAGUUGAGAUUUAAAAACUGUCAGAAGUAAAAUUCUGCACCUGCAUCUAGCUUUGGUGGGUCUUAUAUCUGAUCUUAUGUAUAGUAAUUUCAAAGUUAUAUUAAUGUCUUUAGUCUCAUGACCCAGAUGGAAACUGGAGCCCUUCUUGGCACAAAGCAAUUUCUUGAGGUUUUUCCAUUUCCAUACAAACCAGAUUUCAUAUUUGUGAUUCAAAUUACUAUAUUUUUAUUGAAAUUGUAAUUUAUUUUCAGUGUCAUUGAUGGACAUUGAUGUGUACGAAUUUGCAUGAAUGUUGGAAGAGUGAGGACAGAGUAUGAAAAACACAUGGAUAAGCGAUACAAUUCAGAAUCACCCUAGGAUCAGUAAGAUCUGGGUGGGAAAGACAAGGAACUUAAAUCAAGCCCACUGCAAACACAAGGGAAUUCCUUGAUAUCUCAGUUCCUGCUCCCGUUUAUCCCCUCCCUUUCUCCUCUUUAUUUCCAAGAACCCUUCAAACUGCCUCAUUCUAAGGACUUAAUCAUGGUUUCACCUACAGUGGUCUGGGCUGCUCCCCUGGCCCGGCUCAUGACAUCCAUAUGCACCUGCUUCAGUUUCCAGGUGAUCUGAUAGAAUCUCACAUUGUCCCUCUAUGUGUCCUCUGUACCUUCUAAUUUCUUCUCUUUCCUAGGGAUUCUCAGAGCCUUUGCCCCAUGCAGAGUAAGGACACAAUAUUCUCACCCCUUCUGUGAAGUCAAAUUUCUGUAUUAAAAACAGUUAAUAACAAGUGAAGGACAUGAAUUUAAUCACUUGAAUGAGAACUCAUAAUUUAUCUUGACCCUUCUUCCCAUUAGAAAACAAACUAGGAAGAGCUUCUGUAUUUCUCCAAAUUGAUGUAAUUUGGGCAAAACAGCAUAUUCUUAACUGAAAAAUUCCAUAACAUGCUUUCAUCUGCCUAGUUUCAAGCAUAUUUUUCUAUCAUAUUUCCUGUCAGUCCAUAAAUUUAUGGCUAAAAGAAAGCAAUCUGUCCUUCUAUUUACUGUAUUAUUAGUAGGUCACUGCGGUAAAAAAAAAAGAAGUAUCCAUCCCCAAUGUACUGGCAUAAAAUGGGCAAAUAAUGGCAAUUAUAGCAUAAUGGUAAUAAAGGCAAAUGCCUUGCUAAAUGCAGAUUACAGCAAUUUAACUGUGUGUUUUGAAUCAAAUACUUUAUACCAGGACACUUUUGAUUCUUCAGGCAGUUUGUAACACUAUUAAAAGACUAGUAGUAGUCAUUCAGUAAUCUGAAACUACUCAGAUCACCUCUCUAUACAGGCACUAUCUCAUAAACACUCCAUAAAGCAGUUUUUUUCUGUUUGAUUAAGUGUAAUAAAACAAACCUUGGUGAGGACUUUCCUUUUGUUAAAGGGAAGAGACAGCAUUUUCAUUAUAAAAUUUAUGAAAAGAAUAUAGGACACAUUCCGAGUAAACAUCUGAACUGCCAGUCAUCUUUCAUUCUUGUCUCAGGAGAGAAGAAAAUAAAGAAAUUUACUUUUCUCUGUGAAUUCAUGUGCUAUCAGACACUGCAUUGUGUUGAGAAAACUUUCCAUAAAUUGUGAUAAUUUAUUUAAGUUGGCAGAUGAUCUUGAGAGGUAUCUUUGAAACAGCUGUAUGGUCUAAAGAGAGAAUUGGAGUAACCAGUAUUUGCCAACCAAGUUGUGUUGACAUGGCUGGGCUACAGUGGGUAGUUCUCAAGGGAAUGAAGUUACCGUAUCCUCUUAUUGCUCUUUGACUCUUCAGUCUUCACUUUUGUCAUUAACAUUUUUCAUUUAUGAUACUUUAUAUCCAGCUUUCCAAGCCUCCACCUAACUCCUGGAUGCUUUUCAAUUCAUACUCCAUCUUGAUGGGUUUAAUUUUAUGCUGCCAUUAAUUUCGGGGCAGUAUUCACAAGUGGAGGACAGAAAAGGCCCCUGCUUUUCCCGUUGCUAACCUGACUCUCUCUUGCUAGGAAUAAUGACAUUUCCACUGUGACCAUUCUCUCUGAGGGUACCAAUAGGUAACAGAUAAAAGGGCAGGUGUUGGCUUUGAUGUAAAUAGUCAGAAAUUCAGACAAAAUAGUCAGAAACUAUGGUGAGUUACUGAAUGAGGGCAGAAGUCACUUGGACAUGAGAAAUUAAAGGGUAAAUUACAUCAGAAAAUCACUAAAUUCAAAAGUUUCCACAAGAAACAGAUUAUUUUUCAAGCCACAGGAGGAAUCUCACAAAGACAGCUAACAGGGAUGCUCCACUAAUGAAAAAAUAAACAAGAGCCACUCAGAAAAUCUUGUAAGUGCUGUGAAAGACUUUUCAUUAUGAAUGUGAAAAAAUAUGAGAUGAAGUACAGGUCAUAGAAGAGGGGAACUACUGUCACCACUUCAGCCUGGAUAACAUUAUGUUCCAUAAAGCACAAAGGAAAAUGUGUGCUCCCAGGAAGUCACAGAUAGUGGGCACCAGUAUACAGCUUAGAUGCUCUUAGUGUUAGCUCUGAUCCUCAUUUUUCUGAUUGGAAAUAUAAUGAUUAUAUUCCUUUCAUUACACUGUCACUUUCACUUCUAAAAAAUUUUAAUAACCCAUAAUCUUGUUUUUCUAAUACUUUUAUUUUCUUUCUCUUUUUUUUUUCUUUUUGAAGUCUUUCAUUACAGUCCUGAAAAAUACCAGCAUUGCAUGCUACUUUUCUCAGCUAUAGAGAAAGAAGAUCUGUCAAGGGACAGCUAAUUGCAUUUUAAACUAACUCAGAAAGCUAUACACUAGAGUCAGAGUGCCUAGGGUUGUUUGUUGUGAUUUUUUUGUAGCUUUGAUGUUUAUUUUAAGGUGUAUAACUUCUUACUUAAAUAGAACUGAAAAAAAUACAUUUCUUGAAACCUAAAACUGGUGUUUAUUCAUGUAGAUAAUAAAUUUAUUCUGUAUGUAUUCGCAUAGAUUACUCUUAAGCAUCAUCUUACAAUCAUGUGUCAAACAUUUUCCCCUCAAAAGGCUUUAAUAUUCAAAUUGAAUAAAUAUAAUGAAGCAAGGAUGAAUAGAUCACCUAGCAAAAUAAAAUUUGAAGAGUGGUGAAGUGCAUCAAGAAGGAAAAAAGUGUAUAUUUAAGGUAUAUAUAUAUUUUUUAAAGUAAAUUAUAUUUUUAAAACAUGCCAGUUUUCAUUGUUGAAAGAUUUAAAAUACUUUUUUUUUUGUAUUUUGAGAUUUCUCUUUUAACAUUUUGUGAGGGAUUCACUUAACUGUUUUUUUUUUUGUAGCUUUUAGUAAUUUCCUUAAUUUCCUAAUAGUAAUUGUGGGUAAUGUGUUAGUGCUUGUCCAACUAUUUCCUUUUUUCUUCUGUGGCAUCAUAAUGAUGCUACUUACAAUAUAUAAACCAAAUCACAGGAGAGAGAUAGGAUUUUCUCUUGUUCAUUUGAAUAGGGAACAAGAAACUUAUUGUGUGUUUUAAUAAAGAAAGCUUUUGUGUUGUAAGAAGGGAGAUUCAGAAUUAAAGAUCCAGUUUUCCAUUUGACCACACAGCUUCUCUACACAAAUAUACUUUGCUAAUCCCCAGUAAUCUGAAUGAACCUUUUCCCUAACUACCAGAAAUCUUUAGCCAGAUAAAAAUCUUUGCUACUUUAAUUUUAUUACUUGCAUUGAAAUUUGUUUAAAUGUAAAGCUACAGAAUGCAAUAAUCAAAUGUAAAGCUAGGAUUGAGCUACUACGAAAGAAACAGUUGAAUUUAAUUAGAAAUCCUUCCGUAGAUAAUGUGGAUCUGGAUAGUGAAUAGACUUUCUUUAGAAAACAAAAUGUCACAUCAGUACUGAGAAACAGUGUGAAAUAUGGAAGGUUAUAUCUUAUUUAGUAACUCAGGAUGCUUCUGAACGAGAAGCAAUGGGAGAAUUCAAUCCUCUUCACACUUACAAUAGUCUGAGUCAACAUAAUAGAACCACUGGAUAUUUCUGACACAUGUUUUAGAAAGAAAAAAAGAUUAUCAAUUACAUCACUGUCCUUAAGAAAGAACACAAAGCCCGUACAUGCAUGCCUUGCCUUCACAGUUGUGCUCACUGCUAGACGUACAAUGCAGAUUAAUAUUCAUAACUAUUCAUAACUAAAAGAGGGUGUGCAAUGCUGCUAUCAGGAACAGAAAUUGUACACCUGAAACAGGCCUAUUCUGCACACCACAGUCCCAAAAAGUCAUUGCACAUUUCCCCUCUACAUUUACUUAUAUUGAAAUUUAAUACAUGGAAAUUAAGUGGCUAUUUAUUUUACUUUUUUUUUUAAUAGGAUACUAAUUUAAUUACCAAGGAAUGGACUACUUUUGAAAUAAACGUAAAUACAUGGGAAGAAGAUUGUUUAGCAGUAGUUGCUGACAGUGCAACUACUAGAUGCUGUACUGAGUUAAACUAAGUAAUAUUACCUUUCUUGAAAAGAAAUUAUAAUGGCGAGAAAAGCUGAAUAAACAUUAAGAAUCUCAACUGUUUUCAGAAAUAAUUUUUUCAAGUCUAGGCCAGCCUUGCAUUUGUCAGUGUUCAGCAGCUUCUGAAUAAUUAGGAGUUUAUUAAUGAGAACAUUUGCAAAACUUGUUGGAAGAAAAGCAUCUACAAGAAAUGACAACCUAUGGGAAGAUUCAGACAGACUUUAUUAUCCUUUCUCUUUUUUUGCACAGCUAAUUGUGGGUGAGAUGAGGCUUUUUUAUCUAAAUGAGAGAAAAUUUUAAAAAAAUCUUUCACCAAAACUGCUAGUUUUUGGCCAGUUUCCCUUUUUCCUCAGAGCUGCCAUAUACAGAAACACAGCAGCCUUGGUGACCAUGUUGGCCAUCAAAACGCAAAACUUGUAUACUAUCUAUACACUAAAAUUUUCACUGCUAAGUUACACUAGAAAUUGUGAUAAUUUAGUGUCCUUGACUUUUGUAUCUGAAAGAGGAAUUACCUGAAUUGAUCUCCAGCGGCAGAACUGAAUUUGAUUAGUGGGACGAAGCACCGAAGAGAUGCCAGUUCACUCUGAAUUUAUAAUGACUUUUGCCAUGACACUUAGGGUAAGAGGCGAGUUCCUGAAUGUGGGCAAAUAGCUUGAAAAUGAGAACAUACUGUGUGUGUAAUGUACACACAUAAUAUGGUACUGAGAUGACUGGAUUAAAUCAAACAAGGUGGGGUAGAGACCAGAAGUUGCACCCUGAUGCUAUUAUGAGACCAAAUAAUCUCUGCUGGGCUUUUGUGGUCAAACAAUAUAUCACAGCACAGUGUUCUGUCCAUCAAAGAGUCUGCAGGUGUUGUACUUGAUGUAGUCUUUUUCUGUGGCUGCUCCCUUCAGGAUCUUUGUUCUUUGAGUCUUGCUUUGUGACCAUCUUUAGACCAACAACAAGCUAAGGGGAGCCUUUGAAAAGAAGGCUUGUUUUCAUAAAGAUAUGGAUCAGGAAUGUGACACUUUCUAGUUUGUCAAGGAACAAGCCACAGCAAAAUCCAUCAGAUCCCCCAUGCCUCUGGUUUGAGUAUUUUCAGUCCUUGUAAACCCAAAUACAUGAAGUAAUUGUGACUUGUGGCUAGGCCAUUUUGGUUUUUUUCUCAAUAGCAGAGAUUAUCCACAUUGUGUUCAGAGAUUAGCCUUCUUUGUCUGAUUUAAAUUUCCUGGUAAUUUGGCUUUCCUCUCUUAACUGUUGGACAUGCCUCUGAGUAUACCUCUUUCUUUUGCUUUCUGGCUGGGAGAGUUAAUCACCUGCAUACUUUUUUAAUCCUUAUAUUUACCAGAUCACCUUUCCUCCACAAUUUUUGUCCUCACAAUUUCAGCAAACAAUAUUGUGUUUGGAAUUGUCCAUAAAAUCUAUAGUGUCAUUGAUAUUUGAAAAAGAUUCUGGACCAUGUAAGCCUGAGUUGUUAUUAACUGAGCUCCACCUGGAACUAAAUAAUCACAGAAAGUAAAAAAAGUUAUUGUUCAAUCAAAGACUAACAAUUCUCUGGGUCAUGUAAAGGCAAUGAAUUUACCCUUCAGAGGACUUUUGAGAUCUAAGACCAUCUAAACUGGUAAACAUUAAAUGUAUUUUUCUUUAAAGGAUAUUUUAACAAAAGUCCUUCUUUUGAGAUUCCUAUGGAGUGCUCUCCUACACUUCAUUUGCCUGAAACAUUUUGAGAGGAGGAGGGGGAAAGAAGAAUCACGUGUUUUGUUGCCCCAAAAUGAAAAUGUGGAAAUUUCAAUGAAGAAGUUGCCUCAUCUUAUUUAACACAGAUUGUAAAGA
This is a long non-coding RNA of Passer domesticus (house sparrow), 7493 nucleotides long. RefSeq lists it as uncharacterized. The record is from RefSeq and is a predicted model, not a curated record. The transcript is spliced from 3 exons. NCBI's taxonomy places the organism in Eukaryota, Metazoa, Chordata, Aves, Passeriformes, Passeridae.